Long non-coding RNA from Mesocricetus auratus (golden hamster), 6370 nucleotides. RefSeq lists it as uncharacterized. The record is from RefSeq and is a predicted model, not a curated record. Lineage: Eukaryota; Metazoa; Chordata; Mammalia; Rodentia; Cricetidae. The transcript has 4 exons.
UUCUGUUGCUCAAAUUAAUUAGGAUUGUGAUUCAUUUGUUUAAUGAAGAAUCUGAUGGCGAGAGGCAAACCAGCCUAGCCUUGCAGAGCUCAGCCAAUCCCGGGUGACAGUGCGGCAGAUGGGGUGGGACCAGGCCUGGAGCUGGUCGCUGAUGAGCAGAAGCAGCCAAUGAAUACGGAGAUGGAGGAGAAGCCGGCGGGAGCCACUGCUGUUCCCCAAAGCUGGUGACUAGGACGACUCUCAGACCCCGAGCUUGGAAAGCUUUCCAUGCUUUGCCUAGAGGUUUUCGACCUCCUGCUUCCUCUGUGCGGAACAACUGCGAACAGCUGAACGCGCCUCAUUAGCACUCCCGACCGAUCCACCCAUUUCCUCCUGCCACCCACAAACGCCAGACUCUUAAACUUCUUGCAACACAAAGUAGGAACAGAUAGCUUGCACCGGCUUACUCCCACCUCUUUACCCAGAAUUCCCUGCCUGCCUGUGGAAGGGCCGCCCACCCCACAGUAGCCUCUGUGAACCUGGCUCUCAGCUGUAGUUACUGAGCACACACUUCCUGGAAACCUCUCCUGGAACUCAGUUAUACCUCACUUAAAAGGAAGCACUACCUGGGGACCGGAAUCCAAAAUGGAGUGAGCGAUGAUACAAAUGCUCAGCCCCCUGGGCCUCAGAUCACCUGGCUUCCAAAGGUGCCUCCUGUCAUCUUACUUCUCUCAGUGACUGGGGGAAUCUAAGCCUGAAUGUUUGUCACUCAUUGUGCCUUGUCGUUCUGAAGGACUUGUCAACACACAUCCAGCCCAAGGUAGGGUGAUCUGACAUGCCCCCUCUAGUUACAUGUCACCCCCUUGCUGGUUGCCCUCUGUCUGCCCUGUCUUCCUUUCCUCCAUAAAGUGCCCUAACCGAUUGUAAAGCCCUGGCCAAUGGCUGCUUUCCUCCCUGUGCUGUGGUUGGAUAUGAAUGCCUUACAGAAGUCUGCCUGUUGGAGACAAUGUUGAACUGCUGGGACUUCUAAGAAGCGAGACUUACUGAAAGGCCUGUAGAUCAUCCGGUUGCCAAGGGAUAAGGUAGUUCUCACAACAGGAUCGCUAGAGAAGAGCCUGGCUGCUGUGUCACUCUGCCUCAUCCUGUGGUCCCCUCACACACCUUCUUACCAUGAGAUGCCAUGUACUAUGAAGUCUUCACCAGAGCCAGCCUGAUGCUGGUGCCAUGGCCUUGAACCUUCAGAAGUGUGAGCUGCACAAAACCCUUUAUAAAGUUACCGAGUGCCAGUAUUUUGUUACAGUGCUGUAAAGUGAACCAGUGCCACAUACAACAUUACUGGCUAGGGGUACAGGAUGGCAGGUGGACUCCAACAUCAAGGCUGGCUGGAAAGCAAGGCUUUUGAGCAGGAGUGAUGGGAUCAGAUCUGAGAUGAUGAUUUGCAUGGAGAAUGGAGGAUAGAGUCAGUUAGAAAGCUGUCAGAAUAGUCCUCCAGUAAAUGGUAUUUUAGUUGUAGCAAAAUACCUCAGAAUGACUCUGUUUCCCACCUGUCACCACGUGUCCUUCAGAGAGGACAAACAUUAUCCUCACAUGACGAAACACCUCUCUGAAGUAUGUGUGUGCCUUGUCACAGAAUUAGUGUAGUAGUUAUUGUCCUGACAUGUACAGUCAGCUGGAAACAGGCCUCUGGGCAUGCCUUGGGUGGAUUAUCUUAACUGAGCUAAUUGAAAUGAGAAGAUCUGCCCAUUGUGGGUGGCAGCAUCCCCUGGGAGGGCGUCUCUAGACCCAGACAAUAUAAAAAGAUGUGAGCUGAGUAAAAUCAUUCAUCAUUCUGUUCCUUGACUGUGCUUGGAGUGUGACCCACUGCCUCAGGCCUCUGUGACUUCUCCACCAUGAUAGAUUCUGUGAGCCAAAAUGAAUUUUUAAGAUGCCUUUUUCAGGGAACCUUAGCAACAAAAAAAAAGUCAUUAAGACAACUAGGGAUCUUAAUUAAAGGCACAAAACUUGAGAGGUGGGGGAAACUGCCAAGGAGCUGGGAUCCCUGCACCGAGGCCAUCCAUCACCCGAUAGCCAGUCCUUGGGUCCUGAGAAGUGGUCAGUUCCUUGCACAUGCCCGGCCAGAAUGAAAAGUUUCAGCAUUGGAAGGUACUUUCAGUCGUCCAUUCACUAAUGUCUCAGCAGGAAACAGAACUCUGUUCUAAUAGGUCAACUAGAGACUGACGACCUAUUUACAGAGAGCUGCACGGGAUUAAAGAUGCCGAGGAGAACACUGGGAAAGCUGGAGACUGCAGACCACCAAGGCCUAGAGGAGUGGCUGGACCUGAAGAAGGUUGGGCAUGGGCGAAAGAGCUGUGUGCAGGAGCUUAAGCCAAACGGAAGAGCAAAAAGUAUCCCGAUCUCUCCUUCCAGUCUCCUGCCAGUGCCUCCCGUUGGCCAAACCACAGUGGAGUCAACCAGCAGGGAGUCUGGCUGCAGGGAGCAAGGCAUGGAAGCAACAACACAGUCCUGAGGCUGGCAGGGACAGGAGGAGAAGGCUCUGCCUGACUGGUGGCCAGCCCCCCCCCCACCAGUCCCUGGGGCUGCUUACUGAUCCAGCACAAGAUGGUUGAACUGAAGUCUUUACAAUAAAUGGUGCAGAAAAGCAACACCCUUAGUCUGCGGUGAUCCUCACAGAAACAGAGAGAGCUGGGAAACGCUGUGAGAGCAAGCAAGUGCAGUCAGAUGACGACUGUUGGAAAGGGCCUAAGACCAAGAAGUCAUAGAGCCCUAGACUCAGUCAAGUGUCUGCCCUUCUGAGCUGUUCUGUCCUGGUCAAGGCUUGGGAAGAGCCUAGACCACAUCUCCUGCCCUACUCCAUUCCCAUUGCAGCCUCCCAGGCAGUUACUCUUCCAGGCCUCGUAGUAUCUCACACUUCAUUCACGCUGCUCUCUCCUGCUGCGAUGCCCUCCAUUCCUCUGCAACGCCCACCUUCAUUGUUCCUAACCCCCUUGGACCUGCCUCCUUCCGGAAGACUCCACUAUCUUGCGUAAAUGGCCCUGUCAUGAUGGCCACCUGUCCCCUUCUCUCACUAGAGCAGUCUCCCUCUCUCCCUGGCUUAGCUUCUCUUGUAGAUACAAGGCAAGAAGUGCAUUUUCUCCUUCUCACCUUCACUUGCCUAACAGGCCUCAUUGGGAUCAGGUUCUGAGAGGAAGCAGCAGGUGGAGAGAGGGGAAACUCGGGUCCAGAGGCGGACACAGCCAAGCACAGCCGGCACUGAAGAUACCAGCUCCUGUGCUGCCCUGAGCAGCCUCCCAGCUCAUUAGGAUGGAGCGUUCAUCAUACACUUGUAUCUUUAGCAUGGGACAUAGCCUCCCCUGGGCCUGGGCCCAGCUGGUUCUCUGCUCAGAUUCAUAAACUCAUAACCGACUCAGGACAUAGGAACUGUGCUGUGAAAUCAUAAAGUGAGUGUCUGAAAGAAUCUUAUUCAGAGAGAGUGAGGUCUCCAUGCUCCCAGUCCAAGACGUAGGACUCUGCAGCUUCCUCCUGGAUAUCUUAGCUGUUCAUCUCAGAACCCAAGUGUCACAUGAUAAGAAACCCAGGCUAUGGGAGAAACUAUAGGUACUCAGGGUGACAACACCAGCUGCCAACCAUCUCAUGCCAAGAGAAAGCCAUCUUGGAUAUCCAGCCAGUGAAGCCCUCAGAUGACCCCAGACCCAGCUACUGCCUGGUACAACCAUACAACAGACAAAGAACCUUCCAGCUAAAUUCAGCCAACCCAUGGAACUGUACAGGAUAUUUUACAGUGUUAGAAACUUCUUGCAUAUAGGUGCAACUUUACAAGUGAGUAACUAUGACCAGAACUGUCAUGUGACUUACUGCCUUGAGGCAGAGUCCGGUGCCUGUCACCUUAAUCCCACCACAAGAAAAGGUAGAGAGAGGUGAGCUCUCCAGAGCAGAAGAGGAGGAGAGGGAAAGAUGAAUCUUGUAGAAAACAUCCCAAAUUUAUCCCAUUUAUGAAGGAAAUUGCUCGCUGUGUGAUUUUUGUUUUCAGUCUUCCAAAAAGUGUCUUGGAGUUUAUAGAGUUAAUUGUUCUUAUUUCUGCCUUGGGUUGGUUAUAUCACACACACACACACACACACACACACACACACACACACACACACACGGUGCACACGCCUUGAGAUAAUUAGCAACAAGCUUAUUGGACCACAUUUUUCAGGGAGACUAUGGCCUCAAUAGAAGAGAAAGGAGUUCCCUAUGGAAGCCCCAAAGAAGGCCAAGUAACAAACUAAGUGAAGUGUCCAGAGAAAUAUCUGUAUUUUCUGAAUGAUCCAUCAAAAUAGCAUGCACCCAUAAGGUUAGGGCAAGCUAAAGGGGCCCAGAGCCAUCCACCACAUCCAACAGUGCUGGGAAAACGUUGCUCAGAAGUGAACCUAGACCCUUCUCCAAUUCAAUGCUGGGGAAUGCAGCUGAACCACACACUCAAAGGGAAAGUCCUAGAUUUGCCUGGUUUUCCCAGGCCCUUAAAUGGAAGCACCAUGAAUUUUUUAAGGCCUGACCUGCUCAGUAGGCAGCAAUGGGGAAUUCAGGAAAACGGCAUGUUACUGCAUAAUGAGCUGGAGGUCAAGCUGGCCUUGGAUGUAAAGACAUCAACUAAGAUAUGGAUAGCCCUUGGUUUUUUUUAACUGGGCUCCAGGUCCCCUCUGUGUCAUAGAACAUUGAAGAAGCUGCCAUCUUCUCAACAUGUCCCAGGAGCUCUACUUGAUUUUGGUCGGUCCUCCAGUGACCCUCAGAGGGAAUUAUUAGCUCAUUGCAAGAUGAAAUUUGGAGUCCUGGUUCCCUGGACACACCCAUGGCCUAUAAAUUUGGAGUGGUCAGUGGUGUGGUUCUACUGAUCACAGCUGGGCUCACUGGCCAUCUACUGGUCCAGGCUGGCCUCAGCUGCCCCACGUGACUGUCAUCCUCCAUCAGGCCAGCCCAAGUGUGUUCUCAUGACAAUAGCUAGGGUGCACAAAAGAAAGCAAGCACAUCAAUUUCCCAAGGGUUUUGUUGUUGCUGUUCAAGCUCUUGCUUGCAUGUCCUUGUCACCCUUCCUUUGACCCUGACCAGAGAAAGCUGUAUUGCCAAGGCCAAAGUCAAAACCAGAGCAUGCUGAAAGCCAAUGGUGACAAGGUUUGAUGGGUCCAGGUUAGGGUUCAGAUCACCUGCUUUGCAUGUGAAAGGCCCUGGCUUCAAUCCCCAGCACUGACAUGUAUAUAUUAGAGGUCAUUUUUGCCAUCUACUUCUUGACCUAGGCAAUUCCAGUCUCAGAACCACUGUUCCCAUGUUAUUUUGUACAUGGCUAUAUCUACUUUGUAAGGUGGCUGAGGCCAUUGCUAAGUGUUCUUUCUGCAAGUGUAUUUCACAAGCCCAGGGGUGUCUGCACACACUAGCUGAAGAAACACACAAUGAACUCGCAUCCUAUUUCCAGAGUCCUGAAAUUUCACAUAAGCCCUCAGAGGUGAGCCAGCCUAGUCGCUGACAUGAUGAACAAGACUUGAAGGGAGAGAAUAAAUCAAGGCAGAAAACAAUGAGUCCAUGAUGUAAUUAAAGUUACUGUGAAAGAGCCUCUAAAGGAGAGAAUGAGUCAGCCUCAAAUGCAAGCAAUGAAUCAGGGAGUGUCGCGUUGUAGAAUUCUUGGCUAUUUCCAGAAAGCCUGCUGUCCCAGUUAAAAGAGCACCUUGAGCUUGAUGCUCAACAUCUGGAAGGAAACACUUCUGUCACUCUAAUGCCUUUUGCAUUGCCGCCACAGGCAGUGGGAGCAGCCCUGGGAACAGGCAGAAGAUUGCCAACCCUGAAAUCCUCAAGGGAGAAAUGGAUAGGCAAAGUAUUGCUCAAAAGUGCUCAAGGGGAUUUUAGCUUCACCGAGUGGAUUUGAGCUAUCAUUUCUAAGAUACAAGGGUGGAUCCAGAAUUCUGAGUGGAGGGCUGAACCUGGAAACUCUACAAGACAGAUGGAUGUGUCCUCAAGGAAUGCAGUGAUGAGUCCAUCCAGGCUAUUGUGGCUGUGCUUUGGAGGCCAAACAAUGUUCUAUGUCAUUUUGGGUUCUCAGGAAGUAUCUAACUGGUUAACUCGAAACCUCUUUGUUGUUAUUUUUUUGUUUUAUUUUUGCUUUUGUCUUGUUUUUGUAAGGCAGGAUCUGAUGUAGCCCAAGCUGACUUCAAACUUCCUAUAUAGCUAAACCCAUCCCUGAACUUCUGAUCGUCCUGCCUCCACCUCCUGUUGCAGGAAUCUCUCUGAAAUAAGCUUUUGUGGUCAGGUUGUUAAGGGAAACAACCCAUUGUUUCAGCUGUUCUCCAGGUCAUUCUGGUCCAGGUAGCAAGUGAUGUCAUGCUUGGAAAUGAGUGGUAUAAGCAGUGUUCUUAGUAAAUCAAUA